RNAcentral lists this ribosomal RNA (469 nucleotides) under Actinomyces sp. oral taxon 169. RNAcentral describes it as "bacterial SSU rRNA". It matches the Rfam family "Bacterial small subunit ribosomal RNA", at positions 28 to 486 of the family's 1533-position model. The record is from RNAcentral. Lineage: Bacteria; Bacillati; Actinomycetota; Actinomycetes; Actinomycetales; Actinomycetaceae.
GACGAACGCUGGCGGCGUGCUUAACACAUGCAAGUCGAACGGUGAAGGGACUGGCUUUUGUUGGUUCUGGAUGAGUGGCGAACGGGUGAGUAACACGUGAGUAACCUGCCCCCUUCUUCUGGAUAACCGCAUGAAAGUGUGGCUAAUACGGGAUAUUCUGGGUCUGUCGCAUGGCGGGCCCGGGAAAGAUAUUGCUUCGGUGGGGGAUGGGCUCGCGGCCUAUCAGCUUGUUGGUGGGGUGAUGGCCUACCAAGGCGGUGACGGGUAGCCGGCCUGAGAGGGUGGACGGUCACACUGGGACUGAGACACGGCCCAGACUCCUACGGGAGGCAGCAGUGGGGAAUAUUGCACAAUGGGCGCAAGCCUGAUGCAGCGACGCCGCGUGAGGGAUGGAGGCCUUCGGGUUGUAAACCUCUUUCGCCAGUGAAGCAGGCCUGCUUCCUUGUGGGUGGGGGACGGAGCUGAUAAG